Molecule: long non-coding RNA, 1830 nt
Organism: Catharus ustulatus (Swainson's thrush)
Lineage: Eukaryota; Metazoa; Chordata; Aves; Passeriformes; Turdidae
Exons: 3
Source: RefSeq, a predicted model, not a curated record
AGCUGGGCAAACUCAUGUGUCCUGUCAGAGGAAAUUCCCUCACCCCCACAGUUACUUACAGGCAUUAUGGUCCAUGCCUUAGUUCACCUUAGAACACCUGGAUUAUCCUCAUCUGGGACUCACACAGGACCAGCAAGGAAAUAACUGAAAAACGAUUACUUAACGGAGAAUUUACAAUUUGGUACAGCCAGUCCAUGAUGCUUCACUGUUUACCAGCAGCAUUCAGGGAAUGAAAGCUAAGGAGGAUGACAAAAUAAAUAAACAAACAAAUUCUACCCUUCCAUUGAGAUGUUUUCCUGGCUGUUGCUUGUGCAGAGGAAAGGAGAUCAGAAAAAGGGAGGAGAAGCAAGAUAAAGGAGGGGAAGACUGUGGAGAGGAAGAACAUUUAGCUCUAAUUUGUAGGACUUACAGAAUGACCUUAUGACAAAAUUUCAAAUGUAAGGCCAAAUUUGUUACUGGUGCUGCUUCAUCAGCUUCUCUGAAGUGCUGCCAGAAAGGGCUUUAGCCUAGCGUUACAUAGCAGGAAAGUGGGAAGCUUGUUCUUCCUCAGAGAAACAUGUGAAAGUAAAGGCUUACCCAGGAGCCAUAAAUCCAGUUUUCAUAACAGAUAAAAGAUAAAAUGCCACAUGAGCAGCCCUGCUCUGCCUGUGUGUGCAGACCCAUGGCUGUUCCCCUGCAGCCUGAGCACCCCUGGCUUGGCAAACUGCAGGGAUGUGACCGAGCCCUGCUCACAGCUGGGUCAGACAGGGCUUAGCUCGCAGCUGGCAGUGCCCCACAGCACACAGAGGAGCUGGCUCUCCCCACUGCCCUGUGCCUCCGGGGCCAGCAGCAACCCCAUUCUCUGCCUCUCCAGCCAGCCUGCUCAAAGGUCAGCACAGAUCCCAGCAAGGACAUUCCCUCCAUCUGUGCCUCUGUGGGUGUGGGUGGGAUGCACUGACAACUGGCAGCUGACAAACACAUUCAGCAAUAACCUUUGCUGCAAACAGCCACUCUUCUUGCCAUUGUGCUCUAUGUGCUCUUUUAAAAGCCUUGGAUUUAAAGCUGUUUGUUAAGAAGCAGUGGCAAACCAUAGAACCUGACAAGGGGCAGACAUGCUAGAAAAAUGGCACUACAUUUUCUAAGUGUUGCAAAAUUCAAAAACCUUUGGCCACUACUAACUGAAAAAAACCUCCCAUAUUCCUAAAGAAAUAUGGAGUUAAUUAGAUAACAAUUUCAGUUUUACAGGAUUUGGAAUGAAUUUUAAAAAACCCCAAACCUGUACAAAGACACAGUUGUUUAGGACUUUCUUGACUUUAAAGAGCAAAGGCAUCCCCUCCCUGUUGGAUUUUGUAGGACUUUACUGAAAGGUUGCUAAGAUAAUAGUAGCAGUGAAUUACUGUAAAGUCAAAAUUGUGUUGUUCACAUGUCUGCCUCAGGCCCUGCGGUUUGCUUCACUUGUUCCAGCUUCCGAAUAAAGACUGUUACUUGCAAAAAGUGCUAUUAUUAACCACAUUUCUCCCUGGUGCAAUGACUUCUGCAAUAAGAAGUGACCCCUUGGCAUAUGACCUGUACAAAUGUACAUAAGCUUUAUCUAUAAACUUCCAAAGCCUUUUUUAUGAAGUUUUCAUUAAACUAGAUAACAACAAAAGAAACCAUCACCAGCGGAAUAAGCAAACUCUUCAUCUAGUGCCAACAGAAUUAUUGCCAGGUCUUUUUAUUGAAAAAAAGAAUGAGAUUCUUUGUUGAAAUACAAACAAGAUUGCUUCUUAGAUGUAGGCUGGCAAGUGGCAAAUUAAGGAGUUCAAACCAAACCCUAUUUGUGUAAUAGCAAACCUCAGAAGGAUUCUGCCU